AUGUGCCUCACGGUUUCUUUGUUAAGCUUGAACAAGCACAGGGGAGGGGGCUUAGGUGCGUACCAGGAUGUUCUGUCGCCCUUAUCUCUGGGUAGUAGCCCUUAUCUCUGGGUAGUAGCUAUCUGCCUUCUCUGUGAACUUAGUUUACUCCCCAUUUCCCAGGACUGUUUCAUUAAGGCCAUUCUUAUGGCGGCUCUUGGCUCUCAGCCGUUCCUUUCAAAGGUUCUCAUACUUUUCCAAAAACAAGCCCUUAAUGUGUUCAGUGCAGAUACUCCGCUGGUCGCUGUCGCUCGCUGCACUUCAGGGUUGUUACUGCGCGUUCUCUCAAGUAGACGAGGAAGGCGUCCACCUCCCCGACGGUACCCGAGCGCCCGGGAACGGCGAGAGGGAACCAGCACGCCCGCUCUGCUGCCACAGCGAUGGCGCGUCCCGGCUCCCGGCUCCCGACUCCCGGUGUCACAUCCAGGCGCCCCGGCUCCAGGCGUCCCGGCGUCCCGUGUCCCGGCACCCGGCUCCCGGCGUCCCGGCGUCCCGGCGUCCCCGCGUCCCGGCUCCCGGCGUCACGUCCAGGCGCCCCGGCUCCCGGCUCCCGGCUCCCGGCUCCCGACUCCCGGCGUCCCGGCUCCCGACUCCCGGUGUCCUGGCGUCCCGGCUCCCGACUCCCGGCGUCCCGGCUCCCGGCGUCCCGGCGUCCCGGCGUCCCGGCGUCCCGGCUCCGGGCUCCUGGCGUCACGUCCAGGCGCCCCGACUCCAGGUGUCCCGGAGUCCCCGCGUCCCGGCUCCCGGCUCCCGGCUCCCGACUCCCGGCGUCCCGGCUCCCGGCGUCACGUCCAGGCGCCCCGGCUCCAGGUGUCCCGGCUCCCGACUCCCGGCGUCCCGGCGUCCCGGCUCCCGGCGUCCCGUGCAGGCGCCAGGCGGGCUUGCCGGCCGAGGGCCGGUGUGUUCCCGUCCCACGGCGACGCCGGGGUGCUGGCUGGCUGGACGCGCUGCCUUCAGGAAGAGCGGCCGUCCCCGGACAGUGCCUGGCCGCCGUCGUCCUCCUGGUUAGCGCGGGGAGCGCAGGGCGGGUUCUGGAGCGCCGGUUCCUGCCUGAACCUGGGCCGCUGGUGUGCCCUGUGUGGGACAGACCCGGUGUGGCCCGUCCAUCUCACUUUGUGUCCUUAAAGUGGCGUUCAGGUGACCUCCUGAGGUAGGCGAGGCCGGAAGUGGCAGGAUCGUUUCUCCAGCUGUGAGCCCAGUGUCCGUCCACAGAGAUGCCUCCUCUGGAUGGCCACUUACUGCUUCUUGGAAUCUCCGAGCCCGGGGAAUUCAAGGACUCAGAAAACAUGGGAAUACACGCGGUGUAGAAAGGGCCUUUUGUGUUCUCAGGGAUGCAUCCUGGGUUGUAUUUCACUUUAUGUGGUCAGAAGCUGGCUUCCAGUGAACUGUGUGUGGGUCAGUCCAGUAGGAGUUUGAGACCCAGACACUUCUGUUCUCCUUUGUGUGGAAUUGUUUUAAAGUUUAUGUAUUUGAAAGGCAGAGCUAGAGAGAGAGGAACAGAGACGUCUUCCAUGGCUGGCUCCCUCCCCAGCUCAGGCUGGGACUAGCUGAACACAGGCGCUUCCUUCAUGUCUCCCAAGUAGGUGGCAGGAGCUGGACCAACUUCCACUGCUUUCCCAGGCACACUGGCAGGAAGCUGGAUCAGAAGUGCUUUAGCCAGGACUGGCACCUUUAUGGGAUGCUGGCACUGCAGGUGGAGGCUUAGCCCUGCGUGUGUCAGUGCAGAGAACUGAUUAUUGAAAUUGUCAGAUGGACAUUCAGCUAGUGCUGAUGAGUGCUUUGAAGAGCCUUCCAGGCAAGAUUAACAUAUGGAUGGAGGCAGAUUAUCAGGGAAGAUGGAGUGACUAGUGUUUUUUAAACACUGGGACCAUUUUGAAUCGUAACAUCAAUCAAUGGUUUGCAAAUAAUGUUAAAAAAUAGUAUAUAUAUAUAUAUAUAUAUAUAUAUAUAUAUCCAUAAGAAGAGUAACCUAGAGUAGCAGGCAUAUAUAGUCAGAACAAUUAUUGAUUUGUGAAAUUUUGGUUUAGUUAGAUAUAACACACAAUUCCCCUCCCCUCUCUCUUUCUGCCAACUUCCUUGUCCACUCCUCUCUAUCUCUGGAAGUUGUUCUCUCCAUUAGCCUUAAUUUUUUAAUUUUUAUUUUUUGGAAAGUAUUUAUUUGAAAGGAAGGAUGUAGAGAGAGAGGGAGAGACAUAGAGAAAAAAGAGAAAUCUUCCAUCUGCUGGUUCACUCAGAUGGCCACAACUCCUGGGGCUUGCCCAGAGUGAAGCCAGAAGCCCAGAACUCCCUCCAGGUCUCCCACAUGGAUGACAGGGAUCCAAGCACAUUAGCAGGGAGCUGGAUCAGCAGCAGAGCAGUUGGCUUUUGAACCAGCACCCCAACAUGGUAUGAGGCAGCAGCCCAGCCCAUUCUGCUACAAUGCCAGCUGCAAACUUAAUUAAAACAAUUUUUUUUUUGUAAAGAAGACAAAAGUUGAGCAUUACAUUGUUAACCUCCAAUACCAACUACUCACCUUCAACAGUCAACAGCUUUCUGAUUUGAUCAUAUAGUUUUGGUCCUCAGAGGUGUGUUGAGAGGUAGUUAAGGCAUCAGGAGGAAAGGGAGUUGCCAUCAUCUCUCAUCUCAGAAGUAGCCUGAAGGAAGAGCAGCAGAGAGGAAAAUGCAGUCUAGGUCUUCAGAAUCUUAUUUUUGUGGGUCAUAUAUAUUUGUGUUUGUGUCUUGUUUUAUCAGUCACUUUGUUUAAGUAAAAUAGGAGUUUUGUUCUUUUUCCCGAUAUUCUUAUAGAGUUAGAUUUGGAGGUGGGGACAUGGGGAUAGGGAAUAUUCAGGGCCAUGUUAAAUAAAAGAAAUUAGGUAUAGGAAAAAUAGCCA
This is a long non-coding RNA of Oryctolagus cuniculus (rabbit), 2909 nucleotides long. NCBI's taxonomy places the organism in Eukaryota, Metazoa, Chordata, Mammalia, Lagomorpha, Leporidae. The record is from Ensembl.